This 56-nucleotide ribosomal RNA is filed under the name Hyalorbilia inflatula. RNAcentral describes it as "partial 28S large subunit ribosomal RNA". Lineage: Eukaryota; Fungi; Ascomycota; Orbiliomycetes; Orbiliales; Orbiliaceae. The record is from RNAcentral.
UGACCUCAAAUCGGGCAGGAUACCCGCUGAACUUAAGCAUAUCAAUAAGCGGAGGA